UCUCGAUUGGUCUAGUGGUGAGGAUACCUGCUUGUCAUUAAAACAACAUUCACGAUAGUGAGGGUGUUGCAGUACGCAGGUGGCCGGGGUUCGAUUCCCCGAUUGAGAG
RNAcentral lists this transfer RNA (109 nucleotides) under Xylaria arbuscula. RNAcentral's name for it is "tRNA-Asp". It matches the Rfam family "tRNA". Rfam says of the family: Transfer RNA (tRNA) molecules are approximately 80 nucleotides in length. Lineage: Eukaryota; Fungi; Ascomycota; Sordariomycetes; Xylariales; Xylariaceae. The record is from RNAcentral.